UACGUAGGGGGCAAGCGUUGUCCGGAAUCAUUGGGCGUAAAGAGCGUGUAGGCGGCCCGAUAAGUCCGCUGUGAAAGUCCAGGGCUCAACCCUGGAAUGCCGUUGGAUACUGUCGGGCUCGAAUCCGGAAGAGGUGAGUGGAAUUCCUGGUGUAGCGGUGAAAUGCGCAGAUAUCAGGAGGAACACCAAUGGCGAAGGCAGCUCACUGGGACGGUAUUGACGCUGAGACGCGAAAGCGUGGGGAGCAAACAGG
This 253-nucleotide ribosomal RNA is filed under the name uncultured bacterium. Its description in RNAcentral is "partial 16S ribosomal RNA". It matches the Rfam family "Bacterial small subunit ribosomal RNA", at positions 524 to 776 of the family's 1533-position model. The record is from RNAcentral.